AUGCUCACUUUGGCAGCACAUACACUAAAGCUGGGUCAACAGAGAGGAUUAGCAUGGCCCCUGCAGAAGGAUGACAUUCAAAUUCGUGAAGUGUUCCAUGUUUUU
Molecule: small nuclear RNA, 105 nt
Organism: Capra hircus (goat)
Lineage: Eukaryota; Metazoa; Chordata; Mammalia; Artiodactyla; Bovidae
Source: Ensembl